Molecule: non-coding RNA, 87 nt
Filed under: Pseudomonas sp. GV085
Lineage: Bacteria; Pseudomonadati; Pseudomonadota; Gammaproteobacteria; Pseudomonadales; Pseudomonadaceae
Source: RNAcentral
AGUUAUGGCGGCUGUGCGUGGGACGUCCAUGGACGUGCCGGUUUCCUAGUUUCCCGGUUUUCCAACCUGCGCGCAGCUGCCACCCAU